UGAACUCAUAGCAGCUUGGAUGUGGCCU
Molecule: non-coding RNA, 28 nt
Filed under: Homo sapiens (human)
Lineage: Eukaryota; Metazoa; Chordata; Mammalia; Primates; Hominidae
Source: RNAcentral